GGGUUGUGAGGUUAAGCGACUAAGCGUACACGGUGGAUGCCCUGGCAGUCAGAGGCGAUGAAGGACGUGCUAAUCUGCGAAAAGCGUCGGUAAGGUGAUAUGAACCGUUAUAACCGGCGAUGUCCGAAUGGGGAAACCCAGUGCAAUUCGUUGCACUAUCGUUAACUGAAUACAUAGGUUAACGAGGCGAACCGGGGGAACUGAAACAUCUAAGUACCCCG
RNAcentral lists this ribosomal RNA (221 nucleotides) under Klebsiella pneumoniae. RNAcentral describes it as "partial 23S ribosomal RNA". It matches the Rfam family "Bacterial large subunit ribosomal RNA", at positions 1 to 213 of the family's 2925-position model. The record is from RNAcentral. Lineage: Bacteria; Pseudomonadati; Pseudomonadota; Gammaproteobacteria; Enterobacterales; Enterobacteriaceae.